UACAGAGGUCUCAAGCGUUGUUCGGAUUCAUUGGGCGUAAAGGGUGCGUAGGCGGCGCGGUAAGUCGGGUGUGAAAUUUCGAGGCUUAACUUCGAAACUGCAUUCGAUACUGCCGUGCUUGAGGACUGGAGAGGAGACUGGAAUUUACGGUGUAGCGGUGAAAUGCGUAGAUAUCGUAAGGAAGACCAGUGGCGAAGGCGGGUCUCUGGACAGUUCCUGACGCUGAGGCACGAAGGUCAGGGGAGCAAACGGG
This 253-nucleotide ribosomal RNA is filed under the name uncultured bacterium. RNAcentral's name for it is "partial 16S ribosomal RNA". It matches the Rfam family "Bacterial small subunit ribosomal RNA", at positions 524 to 776 of the family's 1533-position model. The record is from RNAcentral.